ACCAGGUCCCGUUGGUUCAGUGGA
This 24-nucleotide non-coding RNA is filed under the name Arabidopsis thaliana (thale cress). The record is from RNAcentral. Lineage: Eukaryota; Viridiplantae; Streptophyta; Magnoliopsida; Brassicales; Brassicaceae.